UUAAUGAUGUUGUUGUUGCA
This 20-nucleotide microRNA is filed under the name Ciona intestinalis (vase tunicate). Its description in RNAcentral is "cin-miR-4028-3p". The record is from miRBase by way of RNAcentral. Lineage: Eukaryota; Metazoa; Chordata; Ascidiacea; Phlebobranchia; Cionidae.